Molecule: ribosomal RNA, 455 nt
Filed under: uncultured bacterium
Lineage: Bacteria
Description: bacterial SSU rRNA
Rfam family: Bacterial small subunit ribosomal RNA
Source: RNAcentral
UACGGGAGGCAGCAGUGGGGAAUAUUGCACAAUGGGCGCAAGCCUGAUGCAGCCAUGCCGCGUGUAUGAAGAAGGCCUUCGGGUUGUAAAGUACUUUCAGUCGUGAGGAAGGUGUUAAGGUUAAUAACCUUAGCAAUUGACGUUAGCGACAGAAGAAGCACCGGCUAACUCCGUGCCAGCAGCCGCGGUAAUACGGAGGGUGCGAGCGUUAAUCGGAAUUACUGGGCGUAAAGGGCACGCAGGCGGUUAAUUAAGUUGGAUGUGAAAUCCCCGGGCUUAACCUGGGAAUGGCAUUCAAGACUGGUUAGCCAGAGUCUUGUAGAGGGGGUAGAAUUCCAUGUGUAGCGGUGAAAUGCGUAGAGAUGUGGAGGAAUACCGGGUGGCGAAGGCGGCCCCUGGGACAAGACUGACGCUCAUGUGCGAAAGCGUGGGGAGCGAAACAGGGAUUAGAUACC